Molecule: ribosomal RNA, 488 nt
Filed under: [Candida] sp. D1adP195
Lineage: Eukaryota; Fungi; Ascomycota; Saccharomycetes; Saccharomycetales
Description: eukaryotic LSU rRNA
Rfam family: Eukaryotic large subunit ribosomal RNA
Source: RNAcentral
UAUAACUCAAAUUUGAAAUCUGGCACCUUCGGUGUCCGAGUUGUAAUUUGAAGAAGGUAUCUUUGGUUUUGGCUCUUGUCUAUGUUCCUUGGAACAGGACGUCACAGAGGGUGAGAAUCCCGUGCGAUGAGAUGCCCAAUUCCAUGUAAAGUUCCUUCGACGAGUCGAGUUGUUUGGGAAUGCAGCUCUAAGUGGGUGGUAAAUUCCAUCUAAAGCUAAAUAUUGGCGAGAGACCGAUAGCGAACAAGUACUGUGAAGGAAAGAUGAAAAGAACUUUGAAAAGAGAGUGAAAAAGUACGUGAAAUUGUUGAAAGGGAAGGGCUUGAGGUCAGACUUGGUUUUACCAGGCCAGCAUCAGUUUGGAUGGCAGGAUAAUAGCGGAGGAAAGUGGCACCAUUUCGAUGGUGUGUUAUAGCCUUUGUUGAUACUGCCUGUCUAGACUGAGGACUGCGUCUUUGACUAGGAUGCUGGCAUAAUGACCUUAAGCC